GACAGAGGGUGCGAACGUUGCUCGGAAUUACUGGGCGUAAAGCGCGUGUAGGCGGGUCGGCAAGUCGGUUGUGAAAUCCCUGAGCUCAACUCAGGAACUGCAUCCGAAACUGCCGGUCUUGAGUGCUGGAGAGGGAAGCGGAAUUCCUGGUGUAGAGGUGAAAUUCGUAGAUAUCAGGAGGAACACCGGUGGCGAAGGCGGCUUCCUGGACAGUAACUGACGCUGAGACGCGAAAGCGUGGGGAGCAAACAGG
RNAcentral lists this unclassified non-coding RNA (253 nucleotides) under uncultured Myxococcales bacterium. Its description in RNAcentral is "contains 16S-23S intergenic spacer region". It matches the Rfam family "Bacterial small subunit ribosomal RNA", at positions 524 to 776 of the family's 1533-position model. Lineage: Bacteria; Pseudomonadati; Myxococcota; Myxococcia; Myxococcales. The record is from RNAcentral.